GACGAACGCUGGCGGCGUGCUUAACACAUGCAAGUCGAAAGAAGUGGCGAACGGGUGAGUAACGCGUAAUCAACCUGCCCUUCAGAGGGGGACAACAGAUGGAAACGACAGCUAAUACCGCAUACGGAAGGAGGGGAUUGCGUCUGAGGAGCUAGUUGGAGGGGUAACGGCCCACCAAGGCGAUGAUCAGUAGCCGGUCUGAGAGGCUGAACGGCCCCAUUGGGACUGAGACACGGCCCAGACUCCUACGGGAGGCAGCAGUGGGGAAUCUUCCGCAAUGGACGAAAGUCUGACGGAGCAACGCCGCGUGAGUGAUGACGGCCUUCGGGUUGUAAAGCUCUGUUAAUCGGGACGCGGUACCGGAAUAGAAAGCCACGGCUAACUACGUGCCAGCCGCCGCGGUAAUUC
Molecule: ribosomal RNA, 408 nt
Filed under: uncultured bacterium
Lineage: Bacteria
Description: partial 16S ribosomal RNA
Rfam family: Bacterial small subunit ribosomal RNA
Source: RNAcentral